GAUGAACGCUGGCGGCGUGCUUAACACAUGCAAGUCGAACGGUGAAGCAGGAGCUUGCUCUUGUGGAUCAGUGGCGAACGGGUGAGUAACACGUGAGCAACCUGCCCCUGACUCUGGGAUAAGCGCUGGAAACGGCGUCUAAUACUGGAUAUGUGAUGUGACCGCAUGGUCUGCAUCUGGAAAGAAUUUCGGUUGGGGAUGGGCUCGCGGCCUAUCAGCUUGUUGGUGAGGUAAUGGCUCACCAAGGCGUCGACGGGUAGCCGGCCUGAGAGGGUGACCGGCCACACGGGGACUGAGACACGGCCCAGACUCCUACGGGAGGCAGCAGUGGGGAAUAUUGCACAAUGGGCGGAAGCCUGAUGCAGCAACGCCGCGUGAGGGAUGACGGCCUUCGGGUUGUAAACCUCUUUUAGCAGGGAAGAAGCGAAAGUGACGGUACCUGCAGAAAAAGCACCGGCUAACUACGUGCCAGCAGCAGCCGCGG
Molecule: ribosomal RNA, 484 nt
Filed under: uncultured bacterium
Lineage: Bacteria
Description: partial 16S ribosomal RNA
Rfam family: Bacterial small subunit ribosomal RNA
Source: RNAcentral